This 198-nucleotide ribosomal RNA is filed under the name uncultured bacterium. RNAcentral describes it as "partial 16S ribosomal RNA". It matches the Rfam family "Bacterial small subunit ribosomal RNA", at positions 328 to 539 of the family's 1533-position model. The record is from RNAcentral.
ACGCUCGACACCUACGGGAGGCAGCAGUGGGGAAUAUUGCACAAUGGGGGAAACCCUGAUGCAGCGACGCCGCGUGAAGGAAGAAGUAUCUCGGUAUGUAAACCUCUAUCAGCAGGGAAGAAAAUGACGGUACCUGACUAAGAAGCCCCGGCUAACUACGUGUCAGCAGCCGCGGUAAUCUGAGCGGGCUGGCAAGGC